CUCCUUGCUGCACAUUGCUGACGUCAAAAGUAGUUAUUGUGCAUCAGAACUCAUUGUUGUCAUAGCAGCAGCAGCAGCAGCUGUAGUCUAGCCUAACUCUGCUGGUACAUAGUUUAUUGUCUUCGUUUACCAUUUAUUAGUUCUUUAGCUGUGUCAUGAUUGAAUGGAAAAAGUGAAGAAUUCUAGCGGAGUUGCUACCAAAGUGACUCCUUCAACUGCAGGUUAGUUCGGCUGUCUGUGUAUGUGUGUGUAUGUACAUAUUGUGUGCAUGUGUAUAUGUAAUUGUAUGUGUGUAUGUAAAACAAAUACCGUUUCAGUACACUUUUUGGUAAUAUUUUUGUUUGCAGUUGUUCAAAUAACUGUAACCCUGUUUCGUUCGGCAUUGAAUUGUUGUGAUAUUUCGAAAUAUUGUGUGGAACAUGAGUGUUAAAUGACAAUAAUGAUGUAAGGGUUACAGUGUUUAAAACAUCAAACUGUUUUCCUAUUCAAAGAAAAAAAAAGUUUGUAAUCCAGAAUCUCUUUUCUUAUCUUAUCUAACACUACUUCAAUGUUAAAUUCUUCCUUUCAGCAAUAAUUUCAUCUUCCUCUUUCCUUUCUCAACUCAGCAUCAUAUUUUCAAAUUAAAUAAUUCUCAACUUUCUUUCUCUCUUUCAUAUCUAAACAAUUGCUGCUACUGUUGUUCUUAACCCCAGAUCAAUCUUUAAUGAGCAGACCUUAUGAUGAAAGACAUUCCAGCGAUGACCAUUCCAUUGUUUUCUUUUAGACAUAGUGUAUCUAGCUCUACCUCUCUUUAUUUUAAGUAACAGGGUGUGGUUUGAAGGGGGAUUUGGCAGCUAUUUCUAGCAAAUCAAGUGACCAUGUAGUAGCCCUCCUCCUCAUAUACUUUUGUAUACAUUUGAUUUUUCACAUUGGUUUAGGGUUUUAAAAUUUCAGGGUGCAUUUGAAUAGGAAGAGAAGCAAUUGAUAUUAAUGCACUACAUAUUAAUUACAUUUCUUUGUAUUAAUUAUUGAGUGGGUUUGCUUUGUUUAUUCUCUUUUACAUGUUUCAGUCAUUUGACUGCGGCCAUGCUGGAGCACCGUCAACCCCAGGACUUAUUCUUUGUAAGCCCAGUACUUAUUCUAUUGGUCUCUUUUGCUGAACCGCUAAGUUUUGGGAGCAUAAACACACCAACAUAUAUAUAAUAAUUUUCAUAUUACUAUUUGUCAAGCGAUGGUGGGAGGACAAACACAGAUACAAAGACACAAAUACACACACACAUGAUAGGCUUUCAGUUUCUGUUUACCAAAUCCACUCACAAGGCUUCGGUCAGCCCAAGGCUAUAGUAGAAGACACUUGCCCAAGUUGCUAUGCAGUGGGACUGAACCCGGAACCAUGUAGUUGAGAAGCAAACUUUUUACCACACAGCCAUGCCUGCGUUUGUAAAUUUUUGUUUUCUCUGUGGUGGUAUUUUUUUUUUUUAAUUCUGUAUUAGUUUGGAUUAUCUCAUUAUUUGGUGUUCAGCUAAACUAAAUACAAUAUAUUAUCAUAUCACAUCAUAUCUCAUUUGACACCACCUCACCUGAGACCACCACCUCUGAAGAUUCUAAGGUCCAAAAUCUUUUGUUAGUAAAUAUGAGUUCAAUCAUAGUUUUAGGUAAGAAACUUCUGUUUUGUUCCAAAUACUGGCUUAAUAAGGAAAAAAUUACUUUAUUAACAACCGAUGUGGUGUGUUUAUGUCCCCGUAACUUAGCGGUUCAGCACAAGAGACCGAUAGAAUAAGUACUAGGUUUACGAAGAAUAAGUCUUGGGGUCGAUUUGCUCAACUAAAAGGCGGUGCUCCAGCUUGACCACAGUCAAAUGACUGAAGUUAAAGAGUAAAAGAGUAGAGUAACAUAUGGUUUGGAAUAAUCAUAAAACACUUUACCAUCAUCACUUAACAUCCACUUUUCUAUGCUUACAUGGGUCGGAGGAAACUUUUUGAAGUAGAUUUUUCUAUGGCUGGAUGCUCUUGCUGUUGCCAAUCCUUCCCUAUUUCCAAGUAAGGCAAUAUUUUCCCAUGUUCUCCAGACAACAAACAGCUGAAUGGUUAGACACGCUUUUAUGGAGCAAUGUAAACUAAUGAGACCCUUUGUAUGAACGAUGCCUUUUGUUAACAAUUAGUGUGCAUCUGUUGUCAAGACAAUAAGAAAAUGUGCAAAAUACACACAUAUGCAGGAGUGGCUGUGUGGCAAGAAGCUUGCCUUCCAACCACGUGGUUCUGGGUUCAGUUCCACUGCAUGGCACCUCGGGCAAAUGUCUUCUACUAUAGCCUUGGGCCAACCAAAGCCUUGUGAGUGAAUUUGGUAGACGGAAACUGAAAGAGACCUGUUGUGUGUGUGUAUAUAUAUAUAUAUAUAUACAUACAUAUUUUCCAUGCCGGUGGCACGUAAAAAGCACCAACCAAUCGUGGCCAUUGCCAACCUCCCCUGGCACGUAAAAAGCACCAUCCAUACGUGGUCGAUGCCAGUGCCACCUUGACUGGUUUCUGUGCUGGUGGCACGUAAAAAGCACCAACCGAUCGUGGCCAUUGCCUGCUUCCCCCGGCACCUGUGCCAGUGGCACGUAAAAAGCACCCACUACACUCACGGAAUGGUUGGCAUUAGGAAGGACAUCCAGCUGUAGAAACACUGCCAGAUCAGACUGGAACCUGGUGCAGCCUCCUGGCUUCCCAGACCCCGGUCGAACCAUCCAACCCAUGCAAGCAUGGAAAACGGACGUUAAACGAUGAUGAUGAUUUGUGUGUGUCUGUGUUUGUUUCCCAACCAUCACUUGACAAUUGAUGUUGGUGUGUUUAUGUGCCCCGUAACUUAGCAGUUCAGCAAAAGAGACCAAUUGCAUAAGUACCAGGCUUUCAACGAAUAAGUCCUGGGCUCGAUUUAUUCGACUAAAGGUGAUGCUCCAGCAUAGCUGCAGUCAAAUGACUGAAACAAGUAAAAAAGAAUGGAGUGCACUGGUUGUCAGGCGGGCACUGGCUGGAUGAGACGUGCGUAGUCGGCGGCGAGACAGGCAGAUACUCACAUGCAAGUGUGGCUGUGUGGUAGAGAAGUUUGCUUCCCAGCUACAUGGUUUCAGGUUCAGUCCCACUGUAUGGCACAUUGGGUGUUUUCUACUACGGCCCUUGGUCGGCCAAACCCUUGUGAGCCAAUUUGGUAGAUGGAAACUGAUAUACAUGAACAUGUAUAUGUUUGUGCAUGGAUGCAUGUGUUUUGUUUCCUUCUUUUGAUAUUGCAUGACAGUCAUGAACAAGCAUCACUCUCAUACAAAUGGUGUCCUUCUUUAGCAAUCUUCUGUGUAAACAUGUCCAGCCAGAGGGAAAUAUUGCCUUAUUUGGAAACAGAUGGAAGUUGGCAACAUGAAGGGCAGCCAACCAUAGGAAAUCAUCCUCAGCUAAUACCGUCCAUCCUAGACAAGCCUGGGGAGAUGGAUGUUAAAAUGAUGUUGAUGAUGAUGAUGAUGAUGACACAAAUAUACUUUAUUAUUAAUAAUAUCAAUGAAAAUAUCCUUUUUCAUAUAAAUCUUGGAGAAUAAUUAUCUGUAAUAUCUAACGCUUCCUCCAAUUUCAAGAGUUGGUUAUUUAUCUAACCAAAGAUUUGUUACAGCAAGAUCCUGUGUUUUAAACCAAAGCCUAUCAGGUUCUUCUGUAUAUUUUGCAUUUUUCUCAAGUUACUGGUUCUCUUUCAUCUUCCUGAUAAUUUCUUUUACAAGAAUUACUUGUACUAUGCACAUAUUAAGUGCAGGCAUAACUUGUGUGGUUAAAAAGAUCAUUUUGCAAUCAUGUGCUUCUGGUUUCAGUCCUACUGUACAGCACUUAAGGCAAAUGUUUGCUAUUUUAGCUCUGUGUAAAUUAAUGUGAGUGAAUCUGGUAUGUGGAAUCUGUGUGGAAGCCUUUUGUGUAUGUAUAUGUGUAUAUAUGUGUGUAGCUUUGUGUUUGUCCCCUGUUACUGAUUCACAACCAAUGUGUGGUUUGUUUACAUCCCUGCAAAUAGAAGAGGCUGAAAGAAUAUGAAAGAAAUAAGGACUGGGGUGGGUUUGUUUGACUGGACCCUUCAAGGCAGUGCCCCAGCAUGGCCAAACAGUUUUCAGAAGAAAAUAUUCUAAACCUGAAAUAUACUUCUAUACAAAGGUAAAAGUACAAACCAUCAACUAGAAUUAUUUCUUGUAACUUGCAUUGUUUCGGUUUCAAAAAAAGACAAUGUUUAUGGAAAUCUGACAAUACUUCAUGCAAAUUAUACUAAUCAUCAUCAUCAUUAUCAUUUAACGUCCGUUUUCUGUGCUAGCAUGGGUUGGAUGGUUCGAUCGGGGUCUGGGAAGCCAGGAGGCUGCACCAGGUUUCAGUCUGAUCUAGCAGUGUUUCUACAGUUGGAUGCACUUCUUAACGCCAACCACUCCGUGAGUGUAGUGGGUGCUUUUUACAUGCCACCGGCACAGGUGCCAGGGGAGGCUGGCAAUGGCCAUGAUUGGUUGGUGCUUUUUACGUGCCACCGGCACAGAAGCCAGUGAAGGUGGCACUGGCAUCGAUCACGUUUGGAUGGUGCUUUUUACAUGCCACUGGCACAGAUAUAGCAACUACAAUUUCCAUUUGAUCUUUAUUUUGAUGUUGAUAUACUUGACUCAAUAGGUCUCCUCAAGCACAGCAGGUCACCUUACGAUCCAAGGUAAGCACAGCAGGUCGUUCUGCAAUCCAAGUACUUUGGAUGGGCUGGGGCUAUUCGAAACUGGUGCAGGAAACAGCCAUGAACUCACUGAAAAUUUCAAAAAUUGAACUGGAGCAUGACAAAGGAACAAUUGGAAAAUUCAUACACAAGAUAUGGACAUGCUCUUUCCUUGUCAGUUAUCAUACAAAAGAAUUAUUACAAUUUCUUGCCUAGCACAUCUCCCAUGACUUUCGGAAACAUUUUUUCACUCUAAGAGUUGCUGAAGUAUGGAACAAACUGCCGGCAUCAGUUGUUAGUUGUCGGAGCACUGCAUCCUUCAAAACUUACAUGCUUCCUGAGAUUCGCCAACACUACACCUGAUUUUCUCUCCUCCAUACACACACAAGCAUGUAUCUGACUCAUACACUGUUCACUUCCCAGACAUUUGUACAUUGCUUCAUAUACUUUAUAUGCACUUUUGACAAGUUGUGGUGCACCUGAGCAUUAUUGUAUACCUGAGCACUGUAUACAAUAAUUUCAUUAUUAUUAUUUUAUUUAGAUCUCAUUUCGUGAGAUCUGUUGAUUUUCAUGAUUUUUUCUUAAAAAUCAGUAGAUUCUUGUUUUAUUUAUUUAUCUAUUUAUUCUUUUGUUCUUUUACUUGUUUCAGUCAUUUGACUUUAGCCAUGCUGGAGCACCGCUUUUAGUUGAGCAAAUUGACCCCAGGACUUAUUCUUUGUAAGCCUAGUACUUAUUCUAUCAGUUCCUUUUGCCGAACUGCUAAGAUACGGGGUACAUAAAUACACCAGCAUUGGUUGUCAAGCGAUGAUGAGGAGGGGGGAACACACACAUACGCACACACAUGUAUACAUGACGGGCUUCUUUUAGUUUCUGUCUACCAAAUCCUCUCACAAGGCUUUGGUCAGCCCGAGGCUAUAGUAGAAGACACUUGCCCAAGGUGCCAUACAGUUGGACUGAGCUAUGUCGUUGGUAUGCAAGCUACUUACCACACAGCCACUCAUGCGCCGAUUUAUUUGUUUCUUUUUUUGAUGUAUUGAUGAAUUUUCUUAAAUGAUAUCGUGGAUUAAUUUAUUUUCAAAACAAGUAAAAGAUAAUAUUGAAUUUUCUUCCAGUUUCCUUUAUGUGCACUGAACAAAUCUGUAAGAUUGAGGCUAGUUACUAUAACCACAUUAGAAGUCACCUCAAUUAAUAAAACUUAGACCGAGACAGACAUAACUACCAAGACUAUGUCUUUGUCAUAAUUUUUGCCAUCUUCUCCCUUCAAAGCUUAUUUAAACUGUUUGUUUCUGGAAGCUUUUUGGCUGAAAAUAUUAGCUCACUUUUAGUUCCAUGCCAACUUCUGUUCAUAUUUAACUUCAAACAAUUGAUUUUCUAAUUCUUGUUACAUUGAACAAAAUGCUUUGACCUCUUCAAAUCCAUCUCAUCUACAACAGACUAUCAUCCUAUGAUAAAAUUCCCUACUUUAAAACAAUCUAAAUUUAAGCUAAGCCCUUCAAUCCCUAUGGAGCAUCAACCAUUGACAACCUUCUCCUCUGUUCUUGACUCUAGGCUAUCUUUUUUACUUCCCUCCAAUUGGAUCCCUGCUUUUUCAGCUUUGCCUCAUAACUCUCCCUCCAUAUUUAUAGGGCACCAUCUUUACCACCUAUCCAGUGGGUUUCAGUUCCAGGUAGUGUUAGAAGGGGAGUCUGCCUUGCAGCUUCAUUUUCGAGUUUAUUGUACCAUGUCCUGUGUUUCCCUGAAGGAAAAGCCUUUCUCUCCCAGGUCAUGUUGGUUUCCAGUUGUCAUCAGUGCUUCUGUAACUUUACUUUUUCAAUGUAAAGCUGUUGGCCUUACACAAAACCAUUUUUACCUCCGGGAAGAGGUUAUCCCCCCUCACCAUCAUUUGGCUUUUAUCCUUUGACUUGUCUAGCAUGGGAACCCCAACUAGGAGCUUACAGUUCACUGGCAUAGCUGUCAGGGUCACUGAGACACAUGAGCCAUCACCUGGUAACAUGGACUGAACCUUGUAGUGGAGUCUAAUUUAGAAACUUGCAUCAAAACUUCAUGUUCAUUGAUGUCCCAAAUACCAGCUUAAUAGUGAGUUAUUUUACUAAAUUCUCCAUUUUCAAAAUUAAGCAGUAUAUUUCAACAGAAAUAAUACGGUAUCAAAAGAGUUAAAGGAUCAUCUCAGAUUGCAAAAAGAAACACCUGAUAUCUUCCAUUUCCAAAAGUUUUCUCAACUCAGCUCAGCCUAUCCCAGCCUUCAUUCCCUUAUCAUUUGACACAUUACUGUAAAACACACACACACAGAUGCUUGCAGUGUACUGUUGCAGUAUAUUCCUGACAUUUUUUGUUAUAUAAUUGCCUUCAAGCUGCAUCAUUAAACUGAAGGUGGGAUUGGCUUACAGAGUUACAUAGUUGGGAGCGAUACAGUUGCUGGAUGAUUAUGGUGAUGAUGUUAAUAAUAAUAAUAAUAAUAAUAAUAGUAAUAAUAAAUAGUAUUAAGUGAUGACACAUCAGUGAGGAGCGUGAUGUUGCUGAUAAUUGUAUACAACACUCGUUAACUUGUUAGAUUAGUUACUCUAGAAUGUUUUUGUAAUCUCUGUGUUUGUUAUGUUAAAAUAUCAAACAUAACUUUGAAGUAUUCUAGCUGUUUGCUUAUCAAGACAGUUAUUAAUUAAUCAAGUCUUAAUUAAGUGAUCAGUAUCUUGAGUUUAGUUUUUAACUGUUUGACUGUUGUUUUACAUUUUUAGACUGACCGCCAUUUAUAAACAAAUGAUAAAACAAUCAGUAAACGGGACUGCUAUGUAGUUUGCUCAAAUGGCUAGACAUAGUAGCCAAAUCUCCCUUAAAACCAUACCCAACAACUGUUUUGAAAAAGAAAAAGGACACAUUAGAUAAUGUAGUCUUAGAUAUAGUCUAUCUAGAAUUAAAUUAAAAAAAAUAAUGGGCUCGUCAUGAUUGGAAUGCAUUUGAUUAUUGGUCACUCCAUUAAGGGUUGACUUAGGAUUAAACAACAGAACAAAAUAAUUUCAAUUUUUUGUUAUUUUGUGUCUUAACAAAUUUGGGUUUUUGAAUACCCUGCUGACCCUUCACCCUUAUUUUUUCUCUUAGUGUGUUGAGAGUAUGCUUUCUUUCAUUCAGUGGCUCUCAGCUGGGUUCCAUAUGACCCAGGGGUCUCUGUAUAAGAUUUUAGCAGGGUCCAAGCAAACAAAGUAGUAAAUGGGGGACCUAAGUAUUUUAGGGGUCCUUGAAAAAUGUUUGCUUUGGAUGUAUUUUUUGCAAGAGACAACUAAGUUUCUUUCUUUAAUGUUUUAAAUAGUUCAACGUGCUUCCAGCCACUGAAAUGUGUUUUCUCAGAGAGUUCUAGAGCAAACCUAUGCAAAUGAACGGGUGAAAAACAAAAUCGGAAUUUUGAAAGAAGUAUUUUAAAAAUUAGUUUUUAAGCACCAUUUGGCUAUGGGGGUCCACCAGAGUAAAAUAACCAAGAGGACAGUGUCCCUGAAGUUUGUAGAGUGUCCUGGACCAGUAACAUCGAUAUAAUUGAUGUCCAGCUUCAACAUCUGGAGUUCAGCAUCUUUCUCUCUCUUUGAUCAGUGACAUUAAGUUAAUGUCUUGUCUCAACAAUUGCAAGAUAUUGUCUUUUUGGCCAGUGAUAUUGAUGUCCAUCCUCAACAUCUUUAGGUCAAUGUCUCCCAGACCAGUGACAUUGGUGUGGCUGAUGCCCAGUUGCAAUACCUGCAGGCAAAAUAUGAUCAGAUCUGGUACAGACACAUUAACGGAAUAAACUCUGUUGAUGACACCCAAUGCUCAGGUAAUAGAGGUGGUAUUAAUUUAAGUGAACCAUAAAAUAUAUUUGGGAAGAGAAUUUUUGUUUAUUCUGAACAGAAGCAGUCAUUUCCUGAAUAUCUUCCAAACCUCUUGGCAUUCAGUGAUACAUUGUUUACACUGUGUCUGACCUCAGUGCUAAUUAUAUCGGUUUAAUUAUUGAUGUUCAUCUUCUAUCAUAUGUGAACCAUCAGAAAGACCAAUCUUGAAGUGAUUCUGGCCUAGUUAGGCUGUUAUGAUCACCAUUAUCACAAAUACAGCACUUCUUUACAAAUCCACUCUUUAAUCUGCAGGAAAUGAUAUGGUGCCUGUGAAACGGCCAAAUGCUUGUGAUUUUGUGCAUUCAAAGACUUAAAUUUACUGGAACAUAAAACAAUGGAAGCCAUUCAUUACUUGUUAUGGAUGUUGUUUAGAUACAGUUUGAACCAGGUCAAGUAGGUAUUCAUUAUUUAUUGUAUCCUUUAUUUAAGGUAGUAUAGUGCAAUUUUGGGGAUAUUUGGCUGCUAUUUCUAACACCUAAAGUGACCACAUACAAACUCCAUCAUUAACUUACACAUUUAUUCAGUUUUAAGUGUUAGUCUAUCUGUUGUGUAGAAGUCAUGUGUUCCUUGCUUUUAAUUCCAGUUUAAUGAAGAAUUUGGUAACAUAAUCUUGUUAUUAAAGCUGGUUUUUGGAACAUAAAUUGAUAUAAAAGUUUGAUAGGCUUUGAUUUAUUCCUUUAUUCCAUUUGCAUUCAAACUGGCCAUAUCCAGUCAGAAUAGUUUACCUGUUGAAGAUGAUGAUGACUGGCUAUAUCUAGCCUCUCACACAUCUACAAUGUCAUUCUAAAAAUAUACAGUCAUAUCAAAAAUCUCAAAGCUACAAGAUAGUUAAUUUUUAAAAAUUCAAAACAAUGUGAUUAAAUAUGUAUUACACUUGACUGCGCAAUCUGAAUACUAAUAGGUUAAAACAAGAUGUUUGUAUCUGGAAUCGGGGUUUGUCUCAAGGUGGGUUGGUAUUGAAAAGGUUAAGCCAUAAUUUGGCAGUUAUUGCAGAUCAAAGAUGACUGAGAGAUAAAGAAUUGGUGUGAAUAAAAAGCUAAACACGAUAUUUGGACAUAAUUACUGAAGGAGUCUGGAGAGUGCAAACAAUCAUGUCUUUCACCAGCAAAUUGUUUUAUGGUCUUUCCUUUAACCUUUUACUACUUACAGUUGUGUAUCAUAAUUGAUCUGGCAACAGAGAAGACCUGGCAAGCCAAGUGAGACUAUAGCCAUAGGCAAUAUGCUGUGCUUGAGAAGACCUGUUAAAUCCAGUGAAAUUGUUGUCGUGGUUGAUGCCAGUGCUGUCUGACUUGCACCUAUGCUGGUGGCACAUAAAAAGCACCAUUCAAGUGUAGUUGAUGCCAGUGCCACCUGACUGGCUCCCAUGCUGGUGGCACAUAAAAAGCAUCAUUCAAGCGUGGUUGAUGCCAAUGCUGCCUGACUGGCUCCUAUGCCGGUGGCACAUAAAAAGCACCAUUCAAGCAUGGUUGAUGCCAGUGCUGUCUGACUGGCUCCCGUGCUGGUGGCACAUAAAAAGCACCAUUCAAGCGUGGUUGAUGCCAAUGCCACCUGACUGGCUCCCAUGCCAGUGGCACGUAAAAAGCACCAUUCAAGCGUGAUCAAUGCCAGUACCGCCUGACUGGCUCCCAUGCUGGUGGCACAUAAAAAAGCUCCAUUCAAGUGUGGUUGAUGCCAAUGCUGCCUGACUGGCUCCUGUAAAAGCACCCACUACACCCUUGGAGUGGUUGGUAUGAGGAAGGACAUCCAGCUGAGAAACUUUGCCAGAUCAGAUUGGAGCCUUGUGCAACCUCCUGGCUUGCCAGUCCUCAGUCAAACUGUCCAACCCAUACCAGCAGAUAUCAAAUGUUAAUGAUGAUGAUAAUCACUUCAGUUGUUAAUUCCUUUCCCACUAUAACAUAUUUUAUGACACCUCACUACACUUAAUGCUCGAUGCUUCCAUCAGACUAAACAGCAUUGAUUCUUUUAUUAUCAACCAUAAUUCUUGAUACUAAGCUACUUCAGACUGCUCCUGCUUCUAUGAUAUAAAAGCAUUGGUAUAAAAGUACUGGUGAUGGUUCUGCAUAAAAAACUCUCAAUACACUCUGUAAAGUGGUUGGCAUUAGGAAGGGAAUCCAGCCAUAGAAACCAUGCCAAAACAGGAACCUGGUGCUGCCUCCUGGCCUUGUCCAACCUAUACCAGUAUGGAGAAUGGAUGUUAAAUGAUGAUGAUGAGUUUGUUUGUUUUUAAAACUUAAACGAUUGCAGUAUUUAAUCCUAAAUAGAGAAAGAUUAAAUAGAGCUUUCGAGAUGAUAGUGAUGCUCAGAUUUAUGGGAUUUGCAUAAUUUUUAUUUGUAAUGUUUGGUGAUUAUUUUUCCAAGAUCUUCCAGAUAAUAAGACUACUCUUUCAAAAGAAAAAGGAAAAGAUAUUCAGUAGUUAACCAUUUUGAUACCAACCUACCUGAGGUUGCACCUGGUUCUAUGAUACAAACUUCCUGUUUUAAAGUGGUCUAAAUUAAAUCUUUCCAUCAAAAUUUCAUGUUAAUUUAUAUUCCAAACACGAGUUUAAUAAUAACACAAUUAUUUUACUAAAUUCUUCAUUAUUUUAAAAAUUAAUUGGGACAUUUCUAUGUGGUUGUUUAUUAAGCUAGAAAUAGCAAGGAUGAUGUGGGUUAUAUUUGAAAGCCUAUAACAUACCAAGCAGGCAUACCAACAAAUUCACUGCUGAAUUUCUUUUUUCCAGUAACUUGAAAUCAUCUUCAGAUUAGGUGCGGGUAAUUUGAAAGUGAUUUCAUCCUCGUCCUUAUCAUUUCACAUUAUCUCAAAUCCUUCCUCAAAUGUUCAUCACCUUGCUGGAAAAAUAAACUUUGUUUUCUGUGUGUGUGUGUGUGCGCACAUUAGGUAUACAUGUGUACUUUACAGAAAAAGUGUUAAACAUCAACUUUGUUGGAGGAGUGGCUGUGUGGUAAGUAGCUUGCUUACGAAUCACAUGGUUCCAGGUUCACUCCAACUGUGUGGCACCUUGGGCAAGUGUCUUCUACUAUAGCCUCGGGCCGACUAAAGCCUUGUGAGUGGAUUUGGUAGACAGAAACUGAAAGAAGCCCAUCGUAUAUAUGUAUAUAUAUAUACAUGUGUGUCUGUGUUUGUCCCCACAACAUCGUUUGACAACCGAUGUUGGUGUCUUUAUGUCCCUGCAACUUAACGGUUUGGCAAAAGAGACCGAUAGAAUAAGUACUAGGCUUACAAAGAAUAAGUCCUGGGGUCGAUUUGCUCAACUAAAGGCGGUGCUCCAGCAUGGCCACAGUCAAAUGACUAAAACAAGUAAAAGAGUAAAGUGCAUAAAUAUAUUAUUUUGUAUAAUAAAUGUGUAUGAAAUAUUUUGUUUUGUAUAGAAAUAUAUUUCAUUUACAUGUCUGUGUAUUAAUAUAUUUUUUGUAUAAUAUGUAUUCUGAUUGAUUUGUUACUAAAAAAAUUGGAGGCUCAGAAUCUCGUGUUUGUUUUAAAGGCAUCAUAAAAAUGUUAGUUAUAUCUAUUAGAAUCAUCCGUAAGUUUUCCAAUACAUCCCCUGUGUAACUUAUUUCUUUUCCAUCAAUGUAUUUGUACAUUUUAAUAUUAAUAGUAUUUAGAUGCAGCACAAAAUUUUGUCAGUGAACAGGUCAUGGUCUCAAAGCGACGAAAAUAUUUUGACAAAUUAAAUUUAAAUAUUGAAGUGAAUUUAAUGGUUUUUGUGUGUUUUUAAAUGGCUUAUAAACACUUUCCACACUGCAGUAUUAAUAACCUUAUAUAAAUACACAACUACAGACAUACAGAGAUGGGAAAUGAUAUUUUUUUUAUUCCUGUUCUUGAUAUGAACAGUGGAGGUUCCAGCAAAGAAUUUAACUAUUUGGAAAUAAAGUAGAGAUGGAGAUGGAAAUGGAUAGAGAAGGCUGUAAGACAUUAAAAAAAUGCUAUCUCACAGUUUAAGAUUUUGAAAAAUGUUUGCAAUUAAUUAAACUUAAUCAUUUCUACAGCUGUUUCUACAGCUGGAUGCGUUAGGAAGGGCAUCCAGCUGUAGAAACACUGCCACAUCUGACUGGCCUGGUGCAGCCUUCGGGCUUCCCAGACCCCAGUUGAACCGUCCAACCCAUGCUAGCAUGGAAAGCGGACGUUAAACGAUGAUGAUGAUGAUGAUGAUGAUGAUUUAGCUUUAUGGGUUGCCUUUCCAGGUACCAAGCCUUUUGGUUGCUUCUUGAGACACAAGAAUAUGUACACCUAUUCUGAAAACCAGAAAUCUUUAACAUCAGCUCUGCAUCAUCCCUUAUAAAAGUGCCAUAAUAUUUUAAGUUCAAGUACUUUGUUGGGUCAAUUUCCUAAUGAGAUACCACCUGUAGGAUUGUGGAGAUGAGGUUCAAUUGAUUAUUCAGUAUUUGAUUAAAAUUUUGGACUCUGUUGUUGGACAUGGUCUUCUGUUAAAAUGGCCAGGCAUCUUCAACUUGAGGAGUGGAGUUAACAGAGAGAAACUGAAUGAAAGCCAUUGUGUGUGUGUGUGUGUGUGUGUGUGUAUACACAUUAUCAUCAUAGUUGUUUAAUGUCUGUUUUCCAUGUUGGUAUGGGUUGGACAGUUUGACUGAGGACUGGCGAGCCAGAAGGCUGCACCAGGCUCCAAUCUGAUCUAGCAAAGUUUCUACAGCUGGGUGUCCUUAUGCCAACCACUCCGAGAGUUUAGUGGAUGCUUUUACAUGUCACUAGCAUGAGUGCCAGUUUGUCGGUACUGGCAACGGCCAUGCUCAAAAGGUGUUUUUACGUGCCACCUGCAUGGGAGCCAGUCCGGUGCCAUUGGCAAUGACCACGCUCGAAUGUUGUUUUUCACAUGCUAUCGGCACAUGUGCCAGUAAGGUGAUGCUGGCAACGAUCACACUUAAAUGGUGCUUUUUACAUGCCACCAGUCAACGGCCCUGGCAUCAAUCAUGCUCAGAUGGUGCUUUUAAUGUUCCAAAGGCACAAGUGCCAAUCAGGCGGUACUGUCAUUGGCCAUGUCAGUGAUUUUGAUUUCACUUGCCUCAACAGGUCUUUGCAAGCAGAGUUCAUUGUGCAAUGAAUGAGGAGUACUCAUAAGUGGGCUGGUUAUACACCACUGGCAUAGGCCACAAGGUAAUGGUCUCACUUGGCUUACCGGGUCUUCUCAAGCACAGCAUGUCUCCAAAAAUCUUGGUCACUAGUCAUUGCCUCGGUGAGAUACAAUUCAACACGUGCAGCUGCUAAUCUAGACAUAUUUUUCCCCCACUCUCCAUCUAUUUUCUCUUCCAUUUUUCCUGGGUUUCAAAGUAAUACACCUUGUUUGUUACUCCUUCACUUGCCUCUGUCUUUUGUUUUUUGUACAACUUUGAACCAUAAAUUUACAUAUAUGUAUAUAUAUAUGUGUGUGUUUGUGUGUACUAUUGUGUACAUAUAUACAUAUUCUCUGUGUGUAUUUGUGUAGACAUCAUACAAUGGUCGUAGAUGAGCAUGGUUGUCAUAUGAGUGAGGUUGUUCAUUACUAUCCUUCUGUAAAAUACAAGUCUAAGACAUUUACCACCACCACCACAAAGACAAUUACUUCUGAGGAUAACAGAUGAUGAUUUAAAAUUUCUUAAUAUAUUGGAGAAUGGGUAAUUAACCAAGCAGGGUAAUUGUUCUAGGAGGUAGUGGUCGUAGGGGGUAACUGUCCUGAUACAGUAAAAUACAUGCCCAGCUAUGGGAAAAUAUUUCCUUGUUUGGAAACAGGUGAGGGUUGGCAACAAGGCAGGCAUCCAGCCAUAGAAAAUCUGUUUCAACAAAUUCCAUCUGAUCCAUGAAAGCAUGGAAAGGUGGACAUUAAAUGAUGAUGAUGAUGAUAUAUUUUAAACACUUACCACUUUACUAUUUUAAUUUCCUUUCAGAUUCCUCAUAUACUCCAAAUGUUUCAACUCUCUUGUAAUACUUACAUCAAGUACUGAAGAAUGUGGCAGCUUCUGAGAGCUUGUGUCUCUCAGUUGAAUCACAAAACAUACCAGGUAAGUUACAGGUUUUCUUUUAUUUUUUUACUUGUUUCUCAUUUGACUGUGGCCAUGCUACGGCACUGCCUUUAGUCGAACAAUUUGACUUCAGGGCUUAUUCUUUGUAAGCCUAGUAUUUAUUUUAUUGGUCUCUUUUGCUGAACUGCUUAGUUACAAAUACAGUUGUCAAGCAAUGGUGGUGGGGAUAAAAACACACAUACAAUCACACGACGGGCUUCUUUUAGUUUCCGUCUACCAAAUCCACUCGCAAGGCUUGGGUCGGCCUGAGGCUAUAGUAGAAGACACUUGUCUAAGGAGCCGCACUGUGGGAUGCUUUCUUUGCUAGCUUGAGUUGGUUGGGUUUGCCAUAGACAGUCAGUACAUAUUCGGUAAUACCUACUUGAAAUGGAUUAGAAGGACUGCAGUCUGUUUGCUUCAUUUUUGGUUGAUUUUCUACAGUUGGAUACCCUUUCUAAUACCAACCUCCUUUACAGAGUGUACUGGAUACUUUUUCAUGGCAUCAGCACCAGAGAGGUCGCCAUGUCUUGCACAAGACUAAAAGCACCUCAUUUCCUUGCACUUUGCAGAAUGUAUUGAAUGCAAUUUUUGCAACACCAGCACAAAAGAAGUCAUUGUGUUCUCAAUGUGACUAUCAGUAUUCAAUUACCCAGAAAGCUCAUAAGAAGUAAUUAGUAAUCAGCAGUGGAGGUGAGUGUUAUGGAAUCAUUGUUACCAGAAUAAGGAUGAUUGGAAAUUUUCCAGGGAGACAUUAACCUCUGUUGACUGCAGAAGGAUUCUCCCUCCCUCUCCUUGUCAAGUGUAGAUGCUAUGAUACUGGUGUCCGAUGUGUGAUCAUACAUUGUAGUGAAACCUGGAUGGUGAGAGCUGAGGAUACAUGUUGGCAGGAAAGAAAUGAUGUGAAUCUGGUCUGUUGGAUGUUUAAUGUGACUGAAAGAACACAGGUGUGACAAAAGGAAUACUGGGAAUUAGAGGAAUCAGAUGUAAUGUAUAGGAGAGGAGAUGGCUUUCAGAAUUCCUCCUGUCGGUAAUCUGCAUAUUGUUGCUUUAUUAGUGAUAUGUCCUUAAUUUAGCUCUCUCAGGUAACAGAUGAGUAAGACAACAACCACUCUGGAACUUGUACAACAAAAAUCACCCUCUACACACUUUACAGUGGUUGUCAUAUAAACAAUGAAAGCAUAGGGUCGUGAGAUCCCCCUUAGUCCAGUCUUGUUAAGGGUCAUUCAACCUCACUAGUGUUGCAGUGUAUGGGAGCAGCAGCGCCUACUAAAAAUGGAUCAAGUCCUAAUGAACCAACACACGCAGUGUAGAAAGCAAAUGUAAAAUUGUAAAUUAAUGAUUAUGGUGUAAUGUGUCCUGUUGUUACAAGUUAGAUAUUUUUUUGUGACAGUUUUUGCUAAGUGAUUAUAUAACUUACUAGCUGGCUCUGUGCCAUCAAAAAUGACACCUAAUUAUAGUAUUAUAUUUGUUUUAUAUCCUUGAUACACGCGGGUGAUAAUUAUUUUCUCUAAUCAGUUUGUAUAGGUGUGUGUGGUUGUAAUAAUUAUUUUUAGCAAAAAGACAGAAUAUGGAUGGUAAAUCAAAUUAAUACGCAUGUCAAUGUUAUCCAGUGGAUGUCUUUUGAGAUGUGACAUUGAUCAUCAUUUAUUACUGAAAGAAUGUCGGUUAGUUAAUGUAUAGUUACUGGGUAAAAAUUUCUUAAUAUAAAUAAAUUAAUGACAUGUGUAAACUGUUAAAUUAAGAUGUGUAUUUAUAAUAUACCUUUCAACUGCAGUUGUUUUAUAUUCUUGAUACUUUCAGGCAAUAAUUAUUUUCUCUAAUGAGUUUGUAUAUGUAUAUGUUUGUGUAGGUGUGUGUGAUAGUAAUAAUUAUUUCUAACAAAACAGAAUAUGGAUGGUAUUUCAAAUUAAUACACACGUCAAUGUUAUCUAGUGGUUGCUGUUUGAGAUGUGACAUCGAUCAUCGCUUGUUACUGAAAGAACAUUGGUUCACACGUACAAACAUUCACAUACUUCCCUUGUACAUACUCACACAGAGUUGAAAUGCUGUUUGAUUUUUCUUUUCAGCGCUGAAUGUCCACCAUCCCACUUCUAUUACACACACACACACAAACAUUCACAUACCUCCCUUUUACAUACACACGCUUAUACUCACACAGAGUUGAAAUGCUGUUUGAUUUUUCUUUUUCAUCGUAGAAUUUCCAUCAUCUCACUACUGGUUUGCCAUCACUCCAUCCUUUCUCAUUCAUAUGUUGUGAUGUAGAAAGAGUAUUAUUAUAGUAGAUAACCUGUCCUAGGAGUGCUACCAUAUUGAUUUGUAAAUAUUAUAGUUGUCUAAUUAGUCAGACUGUCAUACAUUACAAUUAGGUGCCUUUAUGUUGUUCUUCAGACUGCUAGGAAUAGGAGCGAAAUUUCCCUCAGAUUACAUUCUGUUGUCUAAGAAACAAAGAGAGAAAACGUUUGAUAAUGCAGUGUAAUACCGUCAUUGUUUUAAUGUUAGUUUUUCUAGGCUCAGAAGGGUCAAAUGUAAUUUAUUGAGGGAGAUUUUCUAAUCAGAAACCUUUCCCGUUGCCAACCCUCUCCUGUUUCCAAACAAGUUCAGGUUUCCUCAUGACCAGACAUGUUUUAAUGAAAGAUUGGACGCUGUUUGCAUGCACUGAGUACAUUGUGUAAAGUGGUUGGCGUUAAUAAGGGCAACAAGCCAUAGAAACCAUGACUGGCACCUGGUGCAACCCUCUGGCUUGCCAGCUUCUGUCAAACUGUCCAACCCAUGCCCGCAUGGAAAAUAGACGUUAAAUGAUGAUGAGAAUGGUGAUGAUGAAGGUGCAGGCAUGGUUGUGUGGUAAGAAGUUUGCUUCCCAACCACAUGAUUCCAGGUUCAGUCCCACAGUGUGACACCUUGGGCAAGUGUCUUCUAUAGUCCUGAGUGGAUUUGGUUGACGGAAACUGAAAGAAGCCUGUUGAGGAUUUUGCCUUGGAAGGUACUUGGUGACCCUGUCAGUGCAGGUACCAUGUAAAAAGCACUUGUGCUGGUGCCACGUAAAAAACACUGGUGCUGGUACCAUGUAAAAAAUGCUAGUGCUGGUACCACAUAAAAAGCAUCAGUGCUGGUGCCAUAUGGUGCUAUGUAAAAAGUACCUGUGCUGGUGCCACAUAAAAGCACCCAGUACACUUGGUAAAGUGUUUGGCAUUAGGGAUGGCAUCCAGCUGUAGAAACCAUGCUAAAACAGACAGUUGGAGCCUGGUAUAGGUCUCUGGCUUGACAGCUCCUGUCAAACUGUCCAACCCAUGCCAGCAUGAAAAACAGACAUCAAAUGAUUGUGAUGAUUUCCAGAUUCACCCCACCAUCCUCCCCUCUAAAAUGUGAGUAGUCAUGUUGCUUCUCUGCUUCAAGAAACCUGUUAUGCUCUGGCCCUUUCACUCUUGCUCUUUUACCCCAUACUUUCGCAGCACAAUGUUGCCUUUCCCUAUUUGGGUUCAUAUUCUUGUAAGUUGCACAGUGACCUCACUAUUGUUGGUGGUAUAAUAAAAGGCAGCGAGCUGGCAGAAACGUUAGCGUGCUGGGUGAAAUGCUUAGCGGUAUUUCGUCUGCUGCUACGUUCUGAGUUCAAAUUCCGCCAAGGUUGACCUCGUCUUUCAUCUUUUUGGAGUCGAUUAAAUAAGUACCAGUUACACACUGGGGUCAAUAUAAUCGACUUAAUCCGUUUGUCUGUCCUUGUUUGUCCUCUCUGUAUUUAGCCCCUUGAGGGUAGUAAAGAAAUAAGUAUAAUAAAAGCACUCUGUAAAAUAGUUGGCAUUAGCAAGGACAUCCAGUCAUGGAGACCAUGCUAAAGCACAUACUGGAGCAUAAUACAGUCCUUGAAUCCUUCAGAUUUUGUCAAGCUGUCCAAUCCAUGAUAGCAUAGAAUUUGGAUGUUCAAUGAUGAUGUCUGUUAAGAUAUUUGAUUUCUAGCAUUAGUACAAGAGUGUAAAAUCUGGACCCCAGUACUUGAUUGGCAUUUUAUUCUAUUGACCUUUUGAUUGAUUAAAAGCAACAUUGACUUUGUUGAGAUUUGAACCCUGAAUGUUAAGGUCUAACUAAACCUGCAGAAUAUUUUGUCUGUCACUCCACCCUUUCUACUAAUCCACUCCACCCCCUUCACUUCUUGGAUAUUAAAUGUUUAGAUAUUUACAUCAUGUAAUUGACCAGGUUAUUGGAUGUUGUUGCACAUUGCUGGUCACAAUGCUCCUUGCAUCGUUUUAGCUUUUGAAUGAUGCCUCCCCACUGGCUAAGUGAGCAGGCUGACAUUCCCCCCUGAUCAGAAGUCUGGUCUAUUGCAGGGUGACAUGUUUACAGUUGAGUGGACUGGAACAAUGUGAAAUGAAGUGUUUUGCUCAAGAACAGAAUGUAGCACUCAAUCCAAGAAUCAAACACAUGAUCUAGUCAUUAUAAAUGCAAUAUCUGAAUCACCAGGUCACAUGCCUUCAGAUAUUAUUAUCAAAUCUACAUUAUUUACAUUAUUUACAUUUGACGAAUGUUUGUCCUCAUCUUGUUUGUUGUUAACACAACGUUUUGGCUUUCAUCAGGUGUCUUGAGGAAAUUUUGAGCCUGGGUUCUCAUUCCUAAGGUAUUUUCGAUGUUAUUAUUGCUAUCAUUGUCUUUGCACAGCUUCUAACGCUGGAGAUGCCAGCUGUUCACUACUAGUGAACUAAGGUAAUACCUCUUAUUUUUCGAGCACCAUCCAGAGUAUUUGAGCAGUUUCAAACAGUGCUGUUUUCUGCAAGUGCUCCGCCCUUAUUGCAGCCCCUAUUUGUUCCAUGUACUUCUCAAGAAGUACAUGGCUCCGACAAUUAUUGGUACCACUACCACCUUUUCCAUCGACCACAACUGCUUAACCUCCCAAGCUAACCUGUCAUAUCUAUUGACAUUUUUUAAAAACUAUUUUAUUAUUAUUAUUAUUUAGGUCACUGCCAGAAAUCAAACUCAGAAUCUUGGGGUUAGUAGCCCGCACUCUUAACCACUAUGCCAUAUGCCUGUUAACAACAAACAAGAUGACAAAUAUCCGUCAAGUGUAAAUAAUGUACAUAAUUCCUCAUUUCUUAAAUAUAGAACUGUAUUAUCAAAUCUGUUUAAUAGGCACAGGAGUGACUGUGUGGUAAGUAGUUUGCUUAUCAGCCACAUGGUUCUGGGUUCAGUCCCAUUGCGUGGCACCUUGGGCAAGUGUCUUCUGCUAUAGCUUCGGGCUGGCCAAAGCCUUGUGAGUGGAUUUAGUAGACAGAAACUUAAAGAAGCCCAUUGUGUAUAUAUAUAUAUACACACACACACAUCAUCAUCAUCAUCAUCGUUUAACAUCCGUUUUCCAUGCUAGCAUGGGUUGGAUGGUAUAUACACAUAUAUGGAAAAAAACGUCAAGGUAGAAAAUGCUAAAAUAAUUUUAUAAAAAACAUUUCAGUACUGGUUUCAGUCAUUGAGACUUUUUCAACUGUAAGUAUGGAAAACAAUUAGAUUUUGGAAAAAUUAAAUGAAAAGUUUUUUAAAAGAAUAUUUGCAUAGUAUUCAAAUACAAGGGGUAUUUUCCUUCCGUUUUCCAUACUGGCAUGGAUUGGACAGUUUGAUUGGGGACUGGCAAGCCAGAAGGCCACACCAGGCUCCAAUCUGAUCUAGCUGUGUUUCUACAGCUCGAUGCCCUUCCUAAUGCCAACCACUCCAAGAGUGUAGUGGCUGCUUUUUAUGUGCUACUGGCACAGGAGCCAGUCAGGCGGCACUGGCAUUGGCCAUGUUCAGAUGGUGCUUUUUACAUGCUACUGGCACAGGAGCCAGUCGAGGCAGGGAGACUGGCAUCAACCAUGUUUGGAUGGUGCGUUUUAUGUGCCACCGGUAUGGGGAGUCAUAUGUGUGUGUGUAUUUGUGUGUCUGUUUGUCCCACCACCAUCACUUGACAACUGAUGUUGGUGUGUUUAUGUCCCCGUAACUUAGUGGUUUGGCAAAAGAUACAGAUAGAAUAAGUACUAGGCUUACAAAUAAUAAGUCCUGGGGUCGAUUUGUUCGAUUAAAGGUGGUGCUCUAGAAUGGCCGCAGUGAAAAUGACUGAAGCACAGAAAGAAAAAAGAAUGAAAGAAAAAUUCAGAUAUUGUGAAAUGCUUUGUCCUAUUUUGUUAUCAAACUAAUUUAUAUUUCAUUUGAGGACCAACUUGUCCUAUUUAUCAUUAUUAUUCUUAUUUGGCUUGUCUCUUGCUGCUUUCUUGUACUAUUGUUGUUUAGAGGAACUGAUUUCUAGAAAUGUCACCAAAAUUGUCUCUUGGAAAAAAACAACAAAACAAAACAAAACAAAAAGGCACGCACACACACAAAAAUAAAGGCAAAAAUUUGUAAAAUUGUUAUAUGAGGGAAUAUUUCAGAUAGUAUUUGGGUUUAUUUUUCAUUCUCUCUGCUGGGAAAGGUCAUCUGCUGUGCUAGCUCUUCCAGCUCCUCCUUGCAACAUCAACUCAGCUACUAUUGCUAACAGUUUAAUGGAGCAGGAAGUCAUUAAUACAGCAAAUGGUUAGCUUUUUUUGUUGUUUUGUUUUAGUUUUGUUUGUUUCUUUUUGUUACUAUUUUUUUCUUUUUUUGGUGUCAUUUCUCAAACUGUUGUUGUAAUUAUGUUUGCCAGAUAGACAGCAACAGAGGCCUUGCUUUUUAAGCGAUGAGUCUUAGUGACCUUCAGCUAGUUAUUUGGCAGUGUUGUUGUUGAACGGCGACGAACUUUCUCCACGAUAUUGCUGCUGUCGCUGCUGCUUCUGAAGUGAUGUCGCUGCUACGUAUGAACUCUGCG
Molecule: long non-coding RNA, 21297 nt
Filed under: Octopus vulgaris (common octopus)
Lineage: Eukaryota; Metazoa; Mollusca; Cephalopoda; Octopoda; Octopodidae
Source: RNAcentral